UGCCCGGAAAAGAUAACAUGGCCUGCUGAGAUGGGCUCUCCUCCUCCCCUGUACUUCAAUGCUGGGAUGUUUGUAUUUGAGCCUAGUCGUUUGACUUAUGAGAGCCUUCUUGAGAGGCUGCAGAUCACCCCACCAACCCCCUUUGCCGAGCAAGUAAGUCAUACCUGCAUUUAACCACACACGUAUGAAAAUAAAGUAAAAAUGGAUUAAUCGAUUGACACUCGGGAGAAGCAGGAAACAAUUGUUAAUUUCUAAUGUUUUUCCGAUUUGCUUGGGGAUCAUAUGGCAGGAUUUCUUGAAUAUGUUUUUCCAAAAAACAUACAAGCCAAUCCCUCUGCUUUACAACCUGGUUUUAGCCAUGUUAUGGCGACAUCCUGAGAACGUGGAGGUCGAGAAGGUUAAAGUGGUUCACUACUGUGCUGCUGUAAGUAGUCUUCUUCUUUGAAUAACAUCAAAUACUAUCUUAGAUUUUUAAUGUAUUAUGCACAUAUAUACUUAAUUUGGGUUCAAUUUUCUCUUCCAUUCUUGAAAAAAUAAAAAUAGGGUUCAAAACCUUGGAGAUAUACUGGCGAGGAAGCUAACAUGGAUAGAGAGGACAUCAAGAUGUUAGUGGCAAAAUGGUGGGAUAUAUAUAAUGAUGAGUCCCUCGAUUUCAAUGGCGAAAACUCAGUUCCAGAAGAAGAAACAAUAUUCUCGAGGUCAUCCAUCUUGU
This 712-nucleotide long non-coding RNA is filed under the name Populus trichocarpa (black cottonwood). RNAcentral describes it as "long non-coding RNA (PTRI_LNC002196)". The record is from RNAcentral. Lineage: Eukaryota; Viridiplantae; Streptophyta; Magnoliopsida; Malpighiales; Salicaceae.